This 253-nucleotide ribosomal RNA is filed under the name uncultured bacterium. RNAcentral describes it as "partial 16S ribosomal RNA". It matches the Rfam family "Bacterial small subunit ribosomal RNA", at positions 524 to 776 of the family's 1533-position model. The record is from RNAcentral.
UACGGGGGGGGCAAGCGUUGUUCGGAAUUACUGGGCGUAAAGGGCGCGUAGGCGGCCUGCUAAGUCGGAUGUGAAAUCCCUCGGCUCAACCGAGGAACUGCAUCCGAUACUGGCGGGCGUGAAUCCGGGAGAGGGAUGUGGAAUUCCAGGUGUAGCGGCGAAAUGCGUAGAUAUCUGGAGGAACACCGGUGGCGAAGGCGGCAUCCUGGACCGGUAUUGACGCUGAGGCGCGAAAGCUAGGGGAGCAAACGGG